Molecule: long non-coding RNA, 898 nt
Organism: Anguilla anguilla (European eel)
Lineage: Eukaryota; Metazoa; Chordata; Actinopteri; Anguilliformes; Anguillidae
Exons: 3
Source: RefSeq, a predicted model, not a curated record
UAUGGUUCCACGUGUCGGCAAGGUCGGUUAUAAUGAUGCACUUUUUUGUGUUUCAGAGGCUUCUUGCAAAACUACAGGCAGUAGUGACCCGCCGUCUAUAGGCUAGGCUACUUUUUAUUCGUUUAUUUACUGGAAUCUCAGUAGCGCCAUUUAUCCCGUGUUUUUGUUUGUUUGUCUGUUGUUUUGCUCGCCGAGGAAAUCUCUUUUCCCCUUUGCUUUAUUUGCCGCGUCACAAGGGAAUGGAAAAAACAAAAAACCAUUUUGAACAGCAAAAACAAGUUCGAGGAAACUGCAGGCCGGCUGAUCCUGGAGUUUGAGCUGACCCACAACGAUCACCCUGUUGCUGCCAGGUCGAAUCACCAUCCUCAGACGCCCUUAUCGUAGACGCCCCGUACAGCCGAGUGUGGGACCUGCCCGAGUGCAGCAGCCGGUGCAGACGCCGCAGUCGGCUGUGAUUUCCACCUGCUCCGUGACGUUGGUGUCGCCCGCUUCUGUUCCAGCUCCUCACCUUCAGCUGCAGGAAGGAAGUAAAGCUAUGUAACUUUCAAAGGAGAGAAAACUCACCGGGACGCCCUAGUGAGAAGACUUCCAGGGUUACCCUUCUCGCCCAAGGAUGUUUACUUUUGAGGCCUGUGGAGCAGAGAGUGGGGGAGAGAGAAAACAGAUUCACUCCUAUGGUCACGCAGGGCAAGUUUGCCCUGUCUCUUUAUAUUGUCUGUUUCCCAAAGGUGAUAAUCUAAGAACUAGACAUCCCGCACUGGUAUACCCACCAGUCCUGAUACCGCUCACUGGUAUACCCACCAAUCCUGAUAGUGCUCACUGGUAUACCCACCAAUCCUGAUAGUGCUCACUGGUAUACCCACUAGUCCUGAUACUGCUCACUGGUAUACCCACCAAU